AUGCUGUCUUCAGCUGGAAAACGGGGGUCAGGAAGUGGCAGCCAGGACCGCCCAAGUGAGCGUGUGCCCAGGGAGCCCGCCCCCUGCAAGGGCCUUGCAGGUGGGGACUGUGGGGGGCUCAGUCUGGGGCCCCUGACCCAUUCCCUCUGGCCAAGCCAGCUACACUCCACCUCAGCCACUGACCACACGGCUCUCCUACCAGCCCAGCAGCCAGGCACCAGCACACGAGCAGGCGCCCUGUCCCCACACAGACAGCUGCUCACCUCAGAGCAGCGCUUGCAGCAUGACGCUGGCGUUGUAGGUCCGGAGCACCCUGGCCGUCAGGCCAUCCCUUGGGUCCUGCAGGUGCCUGUUCAGGCUGGCAGUCUGAAGGUGGGGGGAGGGUGGGGCUCAGCAUGUCGCUUCCUUGGGGACAAUCUCACAGCGCUCCUCCCGGGCCCUGUGCCGGCUCCCGGGUGGGACAGAGCCGCCAGUCAAACGGAGGGCCCUCGGCCUUUGUGAGCAAGAGAAGGUGCCGGCCAGUGCUCACGCUCGCCCCCUCGUCAGACCAGCCGUUGGGUCACCCCGUCAGCACCGCUUAUGGUCAGCCUGUCAACGAGAGCUCCUCCCAGGGCCUUUGUUGUCCGUGAACAGCUGCAGGUUCCGGUAUACGUGCAGUGGAGGAAAGACGCCGUUACCGAGGCUCCCUCAUCCCCAGGCAGGAGGAGCCUCCUGAGGAUGAGCAGAGUCAAAUGAGGGCCCCAGAUGGACAUCUGUGCGACGGGUCCCAGCUUCUCCCGGAGCAGGCAGAGCCUUGUGGGGUUGCACGCUGCGUGGCAAGGCUGCCCUAGCCAGGCUGGCGCCACCCCUGUCCCCACACGUCCGCAGGUGGCCCCACGUCCACAGUCACACUCGUCUGACGACACAGGGCGCCCAGGGACGUCCGUGGCCACUUGGCCCCAUCCCCUUCACCCUCGCUUCCCUCCCCAUCCUGAGCGAGCAUGAACACCCUCCUCCUGUGUCUCCAGCCAGCCCCGCACUGCGUGUGUCCCACAGGGCUGGACACCUGGCAGCAAGCUCCUGAGUGACCAGGACGGCCCGCGUCCCCUGACCCGGUCAGUGCCUGAGGAGAGGGCCCAGCCCUCGCCCUCUGCCCUUGUGUAUGCACGAAGGCAUGGCUGCCAGGAAGGGCUUCGCCGCUCACAGCCCGAUUCCAGCCUCCAGACCCGUUUACGAGGUCAGGAGAGCCACUGGCCUCUGGGUGCAGCUGGUAAUGCUCCACGUGGAGGGAGCAGCAGCCACCAUGUCCGCCGCCCUCCUCCCCAUAGGGCAUGGCGCACGUGCCCUUGGGGACACACACACAGAUGGGCACACACCCACCCCUCCACCGGCCCAGGGCACUGGCUCAGAACACAGAAGGCCCGCUGUCCACCCCCAUCCAUCUAACCCAGCCUUUGCCACCGACCAGAGCACAAUGAGAAGUCCAGGGGAGGCUCGGGACCACCCGCACCUUGUCGAUGAAGUAAAGGGCCACAGCGUACUGUCUUGCCCUCAUCUCUAGAGACGUCUAGGCGGUCCGGUACUAGGAACGGAUCUCGCCCACAACCCCUUUCAAGUGCUGAGCCACCUCGUACUUCCCCCAGUCUCUCUCCCCCUAAAAAAGGGAGCAAGGAGCCCCCUUCAAACAGGGAACUGCUGACUCUCCUCCUGGGCCCCCUCUUAACCUGCUCCACUCAGGGCAGGCAAGCAGACUCCAAACUCAGUUAAAGAUGGCAUAAACUUAAAUUCCUUAUUUUUUAAGACCAAUGGCCACUGGACACACUGUGAUUCCAAAACUGGCCAGUUAACGCCUACGAUCUCAGGGACUCCCUGCCUAAGUGGCCCAGCUAGGCCAGGGAAAGCAAGGUCACACCCGGCGCACCUUCAGCUUGGAGCCAGGGUUCAGCGUGACGUACUUGAUGAGGUUCUGCACAUUCUCCGUCCAUGCCGCCAGCCUCAUGACUGUGCGGACACACCCGACCUCCUUCCACCGGGGGCCAGCUGGGGGCUCGGGUACUGCAGAGUCCCUGCAGAAGGAGAGCAACCCAAACCCAACGAUCAGGACCCCGACACACCAGCCAGACGCACUCAUCUCCCACGGCCGUGAGCACCGCUAGUGCUAAGUCUGUCUCAGAGCCGUCUCAUCACCCAAGCCGUGCCCUUGUGCCACCACCCCUGGCCCUCAGCUCCUGCCCGUGACAGGUUCCUUCAGAGCUGCCCCAAGGGUGAACCCCUUGUGUUGCGAGCCGUGGCAGCUGCAAGGGUCACAGGCAGCCGUGCACUCCUGACAGGCCUGGGCUCCCAGGGGGCACCUCGGCUGUGACCUCCGCAGCAGCAGGACAGGAGCUCCUGCGCGCCUGUCACCACUUGAACCAUGGAAAACUGUUCAAAGUACACAGAUGUGCACUCCCAGUGGAGUAAAAUCUCAAGUGUGGGGUAGGGUGACAAGGGCUGGAUCAGCAAACAGGACCCGGGCUGCUGUGGACACGUUCCUCUGCAGGGAAGGUGCCCUCCAGUCCACCCCACGGAGCCUGGAGUGAUGGUGGGACACCCUGCGUUGGGCCCCCUCCCAGGUGAGAAAGUGAGAGUUGCUCAGUCCUGUCUGACUCUUUGUGACCACAUGGACUAUUCAGUCCCUGGAGUUCUCCAGGCCAGAAUACUGGAGUGGGUGGCCUUUCCGUUCUCCAGGGGAUCUUCCCAACCCAGGGACUGAACCCAGGUCUCCUGCAUUGCAGGCGGAUUCUUUACUAUCUGGUAUAUAUUAAUUAUUAGUAAUAUCAUAUGUUCUUGCUCUUGUUCAAACUUGUCUGACUCUUGCGACUCCACAGGCUGUAGCCCACUAGGCUCCUCUGUCCGUGGGAUUCUCCAGGCAAGAAUCCUGGUGGGUUGCUAUUCCCUUCUCCAUGGGAUCUUCCCAACCCAGGAAUCAAGCCGGGGUCUCCUGCAUUGCAGGAGGAUUCUUUACCAGCUGAGCCACCGGGGAAGCCCCCUCCCAGGUGAGCGGCGGGGCCACAGGCACCUGCUGCAGUUGACGACCACGUCCUCCGGCAGGACCCUCCUCUUCAGCCUCUCCAUCUUGGGGUGGUCGCCCCAGCCUCAGACUGACCAGGGGCUCAGUCUCGAAACUGCCAAUCUUCUCGCGGUGCCCAUCUAAGAUACAGUAGCCAAACUCUUGCUGAAGUUUUUCCUCCUCUUCUUUGAGCUUCUGCAUUAAUAUAACACCGUGUCAGCUUUAGUGGUGAAGAGACAGGAUGCUUGCCACGUGAGCAGGACUAGUCAGAGCCCCUUCACUGCCGCAGCAGCCUGGGCAGCCUAGCGAGGGAGCAGGCCCUGCACAGGGCCCGGGCCACCGCGAGUGGGAAGCACCGGCCCACUGGUCCUCAUGGCAGGGUCGCUGCUCCACAUGCUCCAGGUAGACACAGCACUUCUUAAAUACGUCCAGGUUAGGGGCACAUAGCUCAAAAUCAGCUGAGAAUAACAGAGCAGAAUCAAAGUCCCCUUCACCACUCUCUCGGGGCUCAUCUAGAAAACUCCCUCAGGAGCAUUUUUGUGAGAGGAGGGGUCGUUUUCUGUACCACCAGCUGCCUCUCACAUGAGACCCCAGAAGCCCAAGCCGGACUGAGCCCCGGGGCAGCCUGACCUGCUCCUGCCCCCGGACAGAGCCUUCUGGGAAGCAGUCCUGUCCGCAGAGUGUCUAUGGGUCUCCGUGAAGUCACACCUGUCCAGGUGCUUGACGACCUUCCUCUCUUCUGCUGUCAUUUCCUAAUGAAACCAUAUACUCCCAUCAUCUAACGCAGGCAAGAGUCACACAGGCAGUGGGGACCCUCCCCCUCUGUGGUGGGGGUCCCACUGCACAGGGAAUUGUGAUGCCCCAGAAGCAGGAAGAACCAAGGCCACCCUGAGCAGCAGCCUCUGCAACUGUCCCUCCCCCAAGAGAGCCCCUUCAGGUAGCUGCCCAGGCGUGUAGGCAGUGAGCUGAGGUGCCAGAGCUUCCCCCCAGUGGCCCUGAGUUGGGCCAUGCGGCUGCAUCUGAAGAACGGUCCCCACCAGCUACCGUGUGGACUGCACAGCACUGAUGGGCCCUUCACGCACUAUGAGUGUAGGCGGCCUGCCACCCCACAAGUGGUGAGAACACGCACGUGCUUGGCAGCCCCUAAUUCAGCCACACACACACACACAGAGCCCGUGGCCCAGCCAUCCCCUAGGUACCUGUGGAGAAGGCGUGCACGGCCCCAGAGCGCCCUGUGAAGCACCCAGGUGCCCAGCAGCCAGAAAAGGCACACAAGUGGCCCCAGGGUCUGGCCUGGAGCAGCCGGAAGGGCCCAGGCGCACAGUCCACAGGCCGAGCCAAGGCGGGUGCAGGUGUUCACAGACCCACCCAGCACCUUAUCUUCAAAGAGCUUCCCAACAAGUAUUUCUGUUUCCUGAGAACAGAAAAUGCCCCUCUGGGCCCCCCACAACCUCCCUUUCCCAAGCCUGGCUCUGCCUGCCCCGGGGCAGCAGAGAGGGGAAGGUGAGCCAGCGUCUGACAGGCCGAGGCCGUGGCUACGUAGAGAGUACCUUCCGCCAGUCACUGAAGGAGUUGUCUGGGAAGACUUCUUUUGUUGUAUAUUCAUGCUGCAACAUUUUCCCAUAAAACGCAGCAGCCUCCUCUUGCAACCUCCUCUGCUGCUAAGCUCAGCAUUAAGGGCUUCCCUGGAGACGUGGGAAGAUAUGCGGAUUUAGGGGGCUGGCCCUCACCCUGCAGCACACAGCAUCCUGCCCUGUAAAUCACUCUUUGUUACACACAUUGUGCUGUAUCACGUUAUAAACUCGCCAAGACCAAGGAGCUUGAUUUUUAAAAUUCCGAAGCACAUGCUCAAUUUAAGAAGACGACCACACCUGAGCAUCCUGGGGCACGUGCCAGGCCCCUGCAGAAGGCAGCCACAGGUACUACAUUUGUCCUGCUUUAAUAAUUUACUGAGAAGCGAAAAGCAGAGAAGAAAAGGAAAGAUAUAAGCAUCUGAAUGCAGAGUUCCAAAGAAUAGCAAGAAGAGAUAAGAAAGCCUUCCUCAGCGAUCAAUGCAAAGAAAUAGAGGAAAACAAUAGAAUGGGAAAGACUAGAGAUCUCUUCAAGAAAAUUAGAGAUACCAAGGGAACAUUUCAUGCAAAGAUGGGCUCGAUAAAGGAUAGAAAUGGUAUGGACCUAACAGAAGCAGAAGAUAUUAAGAAGAGGUGGCAAGAAUACACAGAAGAACUGUACAAAAAAGAUCUUCAUGACCCAGAUAAUCACAAUGGUGUGAUCACUCACACUCACCUAGAGCCAGACAUCCUGGAAUGUGAAGUCAAGUGGGCCUUAGAAAGCAUCACUAUGAACAAAGCUAGUGGAGGUGAUGGAAUUCCAGU
RNAcentral lists this long non-coding RNA (5403 nucleotides) under Ovis aries (sheep). Its description in RNAcentral is "lncRNA (ENSOARG00000026501.1)". The record is from RNAcentral. Lineage: Eukaryota; Metazoa; Chordata; Mammalia; Artiodactyla; Bovidae.